RNAcentral lists this ribosomal RNA (1343 nucleotides) under uncultured bacterium. RNAcentral describes it as "16S ribosomal RNA". It matches the Rfam family "Bacterial small subunit ribosomal RNA", at positions 28 to 1378 of the family's 1533-position model. The record is from RNAcentral.
GACGAACGCUGGCGGCGUGCUUAACACAUGCAAGUCGAACGGAAAGGCCCUGCUUUUGUGGGGUGCUCGAGUGGCGAACGGGUGAGUAACACGUGAGUAACCUGCCCUUGACUUUGGGAUAACUUCAGGAAACUGGGGCUAAUACCGGAUAGGAGCUCCUGCUGCAUGGUGGGGGUUGGAAAGUUUCGGCGGUUGGGGAUGGACUCGCGGCUUAUCAGCUUGUUGGUGGGGUAGUGGCUUACCAAGGCUUUGACGGGUAGCCGGCCUGAGAGGGUGACCGGCCACAUUGGGACUGAGAUACGGCCCAGACUCCUACGGGAGGCAGCAGUGGGGAAUAUUGCACAAUGGGCGGAAGCCUGAUGCAGCAACGCCGCGUGCGGGAUGACGGCCUUCGGGUUGUAAGCCGCUUUCGCCUGUGACGAAGCGUGAGUGACGGUAAUGGGUAAAGAAGCACCGGCUAACUACGUGCCAGCAGCCGCGGUGAUACGUAGGGUGCGAGCGUCGUCCGGAUUUAUUGGGCGUAAAGGGCUCGUAGGUGGUUGAUCGCGUCGGAAGUGUAAUCUUGGGGCUUAACCCUGAGCGUGCUUUCGAUACGGGUUGACUUGAGGAAGGUAGGGGAGAAUGGAAUUCCUGGUGGAGCGGUGGAAUGCGCAGAUAUCAGGAGGAACACCAGUGGCGAAGGCGGUUCUCUGGGCCUUUCCUGACGCUGAGGAGCGAAAGCGUGGGGAGCGAACAGGCUUAGAUACCCUGGUAGUCCGCGCUGUAAACGGUGGGUACUAGGUGUGGGGUCCAUUCCACGGGUUCCGUGCCGUAGCUAACGCUUUAAGUACCCCGCCUGGGGAGUACGGCCGCAAGGCUAAAACUCAAAGGAAUUGACGGGGCCCCGCACAAGCGGCGGAGCAUGCGGAUUAAUUCGAUGCAACGCGUAGAACCUUACCUGGGUUUGACAUGGAUCGGGAGCGCUCAGAGAUGGGUGUGCCUCUUUUGGGGUCGGUUCACAGGUGGUGCAUGGCUGUCGUCAGCUCGUGUCGUGAGAUGUUGGGUUAAGUCCCGCAACGAGCGCAACCCUUGUUCACUGUUGCCAGCACGUUAUGGUGGGGACUCAGUGGAGACCGCCGGGGUCAACUCGGAGGAAGGUGGGGAUGACGUCAAGUCAUCAUGCCCCUUAUGUCCAGGGCUUCACGCAUGCUACAAUGGCUGGUACAGAGAGUGGCGAGCCUGUGAGGGUGAGCGAAUCUCGGAAAGCCGGUCUCAGUUCGGAUUGGGGUCUGCAACUCGACCUCAUGAAGUCGGAGUCGCUAGUAAUCGCAGAUCAGCAACGCUGCGGUGAAUACGUUCCCGGG